CCCCGUGUGGCUCAGUUGGUAGAGCAUGGUGUUUGCAACGCCAGGGUUGUGGGUUCGAUUCCCACCGGGGGGC
This 73-nucleotide transfer RNA is filed under the name Salmo salar (Atlantic salmon). It matches the Rfam family "tRNA". Rfam says of the family: Transfer RNA (tRNA) molecules are approximately 80 nucleotides in length. Their secondary structure includes four short double-helical elements and three loops (D, anti-codon, and T loops). The record is from Rfam by way of RNAcentral. Lineage: Eukaryota; Metazoa; Chordata; Actinopteri; Salmoniformes; Salmonidae.